RNAcentral lists this long non-coding RNA (652 nucleotides) under Homo sapiens (human). Its description in RNAcentral is "HSALNT0145033". Lineage: Eukaryota; Metazoa; Chordata; Mammalia; Primates; Hominidae. The record is from RNAcentral.
UGACCGUGGCGACAGCUGGGCAUUGGUCCUUCAGGUGUAGGAGCAGGGGCACCAUGCUCUGGUGCACCUGGGUCCGCAGGCCGCUCAGCUCCCUGUCUGCCAUGGCCGCCACCAGGUCCCCGAACAGUGCCAUGGCUGCCGCCCGAAUCCCGUCCCGCUCCUGCAAGGCAGAGGCUCAGAGGCACGGCCAGACCUGUCCAGGGGUCCCAGCUUUGGUCCAAGUUGGGACCCCACACCUUGUAGGGCCCAGGCCUCAUGAAUGCAUUUGAGGGGCGCCUAUCCCCCAGAUUCCCCAGUGAAGGAAAAACAGCCACGCUAACCGUGCUGACAUGUCAGAAAGCAAAUCUGGGUAGGCUGUCGUGGGGCCGGAGACCACUGCACUUGGAGACUGAACGUGAGAACUAGUUCAGCCCUGUGGAGAAGGGGUGAGCGCCAGGGGCCCACCCAGCCCACCUGCUCAGCGCCCACCUCAACCGAGGGCCACAAGCGGGCAGCUCCCCAGGGCCUGGGCCUCCCUGCUUGCAGCUUGGGGUUCCCCCUUUGGCAGAGGAAGGGAGCUGGGUUGGGAGGAGGGUCCUGGAGGGCGUGAGCAGGAGGUAGCCCCGCCCUGCCCCAGUGCUCACGUCAUUAAAGAAGGAGCGUGUGCUGAUGG